UUUGUUUGUUUGUUUGUUUGUUUCAAAUUAUCACUUGGGGAAUUAUCUGCUUGUACUACGGCAGAGGUUUGGCUAUUCUUGGUACCUUUUAAGAACAUACCUUUCAGAAAUAUCAUUAAGGUGAUUUUCCAUAGCUUACAGAGAGCUAAGUUAAGAAUGGUCUGGAAUCCAAAAAUAGUUAAAGUGGCAGAUAAUAGUACUGCAUCCAGUAAUUCCUGAACAUAGUGAGCAUUUUAAAUUUUAUUUCAGUUGGAUGUAAGAAAGCCACAUUGCUUCCACAGCAUUCCAAAAUCAUGAGAUAUUUCGAAAGCAUAUACAAUAUCAAUGUAAAUAUUGACAGUUUUGCACUUAGCUGAAGCACAAGCUUGCAUAAGAGUGAAUAAUUCAAUCUGUCAAAGUGAAAUAACCCUAGGUAAAGAACUGCUUCAACAACAUCAAAAGGAGUUGCAAUAGCAUACCCAACACAAUAUUUGCUACUGUCACUUUUUAAAUAAAACCACUGGUGAACCAUGAAAAGUUGGUAAUACUCCAGCAAGUGGUCAGUCAGCAUUAAGUUAUUGUGAGAGACUUUGUUGAUGAAACAGGGGAGAAGAGUGGUUGGGUUAAAGAUAUUACAACAUUAUAAAAUUAUGUGAGUAGAAGUAACAAAAGGACGACUUCUGAGACAGCUCAGAAGAAAUAUUGAGUGAGAUGAGAAUUCAGGAACAAAAAUGAUAAAAGUAGAUUCCACAAUAAUUUUCUUGCUGGAUUAACCUCAAUAAUGGUGGCUAUAAAAGCUCUGAAUCAAGAUAUGGGUAUCACUGUGUCACAAGGUUCAGUCACUGCUUGUAACACCCUAUGGAUUGAUGGUGGUUGUAGAAGUUUGGGUGAAUACUUCUAGGGCAAUUAAUUCCUUUCCAUAUACAAAAAGGAAAAAUGGGCCCUGACAAUUGGGAUGCCCAAAGAAGGUGUGUUCUUCAAACUCUCCCUUAAGACCUUGAAGACUAUGUCAUCCAGUUCUUCUCAUAAAAUUGCCUUGGGUUGUUAUCAUUUAGUUUAAGAUUUAGAGGUUUGGCUAUAAGAUAGAAAUUUUCAAUACAAUUUGGGCAAUAACCAACUAGCCUGGAAAUACUUCACAGUGGCACUUAGUUUUGUGUCCUGGAUCUAGGUGUAGCCCUUGUUCUAAUAUCAGAUGCUCUAAAUACUGAACCUGGGUUUGGGCAAAUUGCAAUUUUUCUUUGGCAACUUUAUGUCCCAUUAAGGCUAAUGUCCCUUAACAGCUGUUUUCCUGUGAAGAGUUUUAAGAAGGAAAACAAAAAAGCAAAUAUUCAGAUAUUGCAGCAAAGUAGUACCUCAGAGUAACAUGAUAUCAUUCAUAUCAGCUUUCAGGAGUCUCAUCAUUGAGAAUUAGGAAGAUGUUGGAAAAGUUGGUUAGAGGGCUGAAGGAAUCUAAAAUACUUAAAUUUGUAAUGAUCGCUUUUUCUAAUGUCCUGAACCUUUCCAAUAAUAGCAGAAACUAGGAGUGUUUUGAUUUCACGUUGGAGUCUUCAUUUGCUGGAAUUGAAGGUGAAUUCUGGGGGGGUGGUCUUCCUUUAGGAGACCCAUUUAGAGGGCAAGAGAGCUUGUCUGUCAGAUUAACUAAAUUCUGGAUUGGACAUAGUUUCUUUUUACUAGAAGGGAAAGAUGCUGGUUCAGUCCAUUAAAACAUAGAGUUAAAUGUAACUGGGGAAUCAACAGCUGAUGGAAGACUAGAAUUUUCUUCCAAAAAAAUCUGAAGAGGAUUAUAAUAGUCAUGAGUAUGUUCAUCAGACUUUUGUUAGCAAGCCUGAAUUUUGUUCCAAUCAACAGGCUUUAUAAAAGCUCAAGGAAUUGCUUGAUAAAGUUGCCUAGUGUUUGCUUGAGUCUGAUUAUAUAAUAAGUUAGUAGACUGAUCUCUGGGUUGUAACUCUAGAGAUAUUUCAAGAUUUUCCAAGUUAGUGGUUUUCAACCAAGACUGGGCCUUCCUUUCACUGACAAGCCUAUAAACAUGAUGAUAUAAAUCAGAGACACAAAGGUGAUAUGUUUGAAUGUCUAUAUUAAAUUCCUCAGCAAGUCUGUAAGGAUCUUCAUAUACUUUGGGAAAAUCUUUGACUAAGGCUCUCAAUUCAGUUUUAGUCAAAGGAAUAUAAGAAACUAAGAGUUUCAUGUCUGGAUACUUGGAAGGCUUAAUUUUAUUUAUUUAUUUUAUUUUUUAUUUUUUGGCUAUUUUAGGGCCACAGCCAUGGCAUAUGGAAAUUCCCAGACUAGAGGUCUAAUCAGAGCUGUAGCCACAGGCCUACACCACAGCCACAGCAAUGUGGGAUCUGAGCCGCGUCUGUGACCUACACCACAACUCACAGCAAUGCCUGAUCCUUAGCCCACUUAGUGAGGCCAGGAAUUGAACCUGCAUCCUCAUGGGUGCUAGUCAGUUUAGUUAACCGAUGAGCCAUGAAAGGAACUCUGGAAGACUUAAUUUUAAAGGGCUCAGUUCUGACAACUUCAGAGGAAAAAGGAGUGGGGAGAGUUUCACAGAAAAGGGGAAGUUUAUCUAAAGAAUUAAUAUGUGGGAACUGGGGGUAUCAAGGAGGAGAUGUUCAUGCACAGAAGAGAAGGAGGAAGAUAUUGUUAGAGGUGUAGUUCACUAGAUUAUGGAAAUUUCUGAGCUAUUGUAGUUCAAUACAGUUUUAAGGAAAGUAAGCGUGGGGAUGUCAAAAGUUCCUCAUAAUGGCCAUUGAUAUUCUAAAUCACUUUUGGUCAGGUUAGUCCAUUUAGUUAGAAAUGCAUAUGAGGAAUGAUGGUGGUUUUAAAUAUAAAAUCAGUCAGAUACCCUGAAGGGGGUGUCACCCUAAAAAAUACUUAAAAUAUCAGGAUCCCCUUUCUCAGAGGUUUUUUUCGAGAGUAAAAAACAGUUUUCUAACAGCUGAAACAUCUUUUGACACAAAAAGCUCAGUUCAAGUAGCUUGCAAGACUGAGUACCAGCCAAUUCAAAAGAAACAGCUUGGUCCUAGAGAAGCCAGGCUGAAGACAUUUUUUCAGCCAUUUUCCAGAGAAUAAGCCAUCACAAAUGAAUAGGUCAAAACCUGAACCCACACGGUUUCAUUUCAAGCAGUCCCUUCCAGAAGGUAUUGAGCAGAAAACAUUUUUAGCCAGUUUCAGUUGAAACAGUCUGAUCUCAAGGUUGGGCCAAAGUGCCAAAUGAGUACUUGUAUACAGAAUAAGGCCUUAACCAGAAAGACAAUACUUUUAAACAGAUCCCAAAUAAAGCCUGGAGAGGUAAAAAAUGCAAAGAAAGCAUGAGCCCAGAUCCAGGAGAAAGAAGUACCUUCAAAGCUCAGGAUUGGCAAGAAAGUAGUGAGUGACAGUGUGGCAGUCGUGAACACCAAACCCUUGCUCAGCAGCCCUGGAUAGAGAUGCUUAGCACUAAAUGUAAUGGCCCAGCUUCAAAAGCUUAUCACUAUUCUAGUCACUGUUGGCAGGAAUAUAAAACAGAUUGCUUGGCUUAGCAUGUGUCCUAUUCAGGUCAUGUGGGUAAAGUCCAGUUCCCCAAAUAAAUCUUCAAAUGGUGGGAAUAGGGAGGAGUGCAGGGAAAACAAACAAAAACAUCCUUAUACUGAAGAAAACAAUAACAACACAAUAAUAAAACAAAUUACCAGAAUAUUGAGAUAGAGAGCCAUCUCAAGGGUCAAAUAAACCAUAGAAAUAAAAGAGAGAUGUAGGAAUUCAUUUAAAACAGCUGAAAUGGGGGAUGCAAAUACCAACUAGAAUCUCUGACUUUCUUCUAUCUUCUGUCUAUUGACCCCUUUCUAGUCUCUCAGUUAUGACCAGAAUUUUCCACAUGGCAUAAUUAUUAACCAUUCAAAAGUGCAAACUUAAAAAAAAAAACUUUACUAUAUUAGCCACAUGAAUGAGAUUAACUUCAUGUUUCUUUAGUUCCAAUAUCUAAAAACUUAUACAAAACAAACUAAUCCACAUUAUAACUGCUAACAUUCCUGUUCCAGUCCAGUUCGGCCAUGGCAGUUGAGACACAUAAAACAACAACAACAACAACCAAAAAAAAAAAAAAACUAAAAAGAACUUAGUAAUUAGACAUAAAAUAAGCCAGUAUUUAGAAGAGUGGUUACUGUGCAGAAAAUCCAAAAUAUAUCUACUUUAACCUAAUGCUAAUUGUAGUUUACUACUUGAUUCAUCUAUUUUUAAAGAAAAACUCUAUUUGUAUUCUCACUAGUAUCACCCACAUCCUACUUUUCCUUUCCACCAAAGACUUAGAUUCUAACAUUAAAUUACAUUAAGACUCAAAAGUAUUUAUAACUUAUCAAUUUUUUCUUUCAGAGAAUAUCACUUUAUGUACACUUGAACUGAAGUAGUUAUAGCAUUGACAAAAUAACUGACUACAUUUUUUUUCCUUUUUCUAACAUGGCAAGAAUUAUGUAUUAUAUCUAUUUUCAAUGUUUAAUAAAAACUAAAAAAACACUUGAAUCGCACAUAUUUUUCCAAAGCUUAUUAUCCUUUAAUAAUUCAGUUACAGUCAUAAUACUUAUCCUGUUAUAUAAAUCCAAAAUCUGACAGGUUUUUACAUGAAAAUUAUAAAUAAAUAAAAAUGUAUUUUAAGAGUUCUAUGGUAGCUCAGCAGGUUAAGAAUCUGACUGAUAUUGUCACUGUUGUGGUUUACAUUCAAUCCCUGGCCCUGGAACUUUCACAUGCCAUGGCCAAAAAAAUAAAUAAAUAACAAUAUCUUUAAAAAUACAUGUUUUAAGUUAAAUGUUACUUUUUCAUUCUUUAUAGAUGUAUUAUUUGACCUAAAUAUGAAUUGAAAACAUUCCAGAGAUUCUGGUUCUUACUUUCUCAUGAUUCAUUCUGUCGAUUUUCUCUCCAGGCUCCUGAACUCCACAGCAUAUCCCUUACUAUCUGAUAUUUGAAUGAAUAUUUGAAGUUUAACUUUAUU
RNAcentral lists this long non-coding RNA (4939 nucleotides) under Sus scrofa (pig). RNAcentral describes it as "lncRNA (ENSSSCG00055005383.1)". The record is from RNAcentral. Lineage: Eukaryota; Metazoa; Chordata; Mammalia; Artiodactyla; Suidae.